UUCAGGAGCUAGUGCGGCGGCGCGGCCUCUGCGUGCCCUCUGACCUGCUGGCAGUGGGCGGAGGGGGAGUCGGGCGCCGCCAUAUUGGCUGUUGUCCUGUGUGGGGAGCGGCGGCAGUGGCGGCGCGAGUGGAGCGAGGGAGCGGCGCGAGUGGCAGCAUGACUCGGAGGCGGAGCAGGCCGAGCGGCGGCGCGGGCCGGCGCGAACGGGCACGGGCUGCGGGGCUGCAGAAGCCCCAGGCGCCCGAGCCCCCGCCGCCGCCAACCUUGGAAGCGGGACCGGGUGCAGGGCCCCAGGAGGCUCCGGCGGAGUCCGAUCGCGACGGCCCCAAAGAAGAGGAUGAACCCAAGCUGGUGCCUGGCCCGCAGAUCCCAGGUUUGGCGAAUCCUGCUGAGAGUGAGCAGUAGGAGGAUUUUCGAAAGCUUCCAGCUUGCCACCUGGAAGACGGUCACUUAAUUUUGAGCAAAGGAGAUAAUAGGAGGAAGGCAGGCCCCUGCAGGAGUCUUGGAGGGUCGGAUGCAGCGCCGGAUGAGGAUGAGGCGUGGCGGAAGAUGCGUUUGGCUCUGCAGACACUGCAUCGGGCAGCAGGGGACUCUGGGAGGCUGGUGCAGCCAGAAGGCAUGGCUCUUGACAGCCUUCUAGUAGAAUCUCUGGAAUUGUGCAUGUCCCCUUCACCUCCAGCCAGUCUGUACAGACUUGCUGCCUGCUAUGUCACCGGGAACGCAAAGGCUGGGAAGAAGGCCCUUCACAAAACGGACUGGUGUUACAGGGUGAAAAGCUACCCCCUGACUUCAUGCCAAAGCUCGUCAAGAAUCUCCUAGGCGAGAUGCCUCUAUGGGUCUGCCAGAGUUGCCGAAAGAGCAUGGAGGAAGAUGAAAGGCAGACAGGUCGAGAACAUGCAGUGGCGGUACGUAACCACUGACAGGGGGCCUCAGGGUGGCCACAUCCCCAGGAAAGGUAGGCUGUUCCUUCCCUGUCUUUUCAAGGACUUUCCUUGGGAACCUCCCAUGCUCAGAUGCUAAAAGAAUUGUGGGCUACAUUGACACCUUGGGAGCUCAGAUUCAGAUUCGGGGGAGAGAGAAACAGUCUUCAGGCAACCCUCUGGCCUCAGCAUAGUUCAUACAGAAGGUGAAGACCUCAUAGAUUACGGUAGAUCAUGAUCCUAUUCCCUCAGGUGACCCUGAUACCUUCUAAUUCCUUGACACUUUGAAAGGUAAACCUUUAUGACACAAAAGGCAGAGGUCAGUUUGAGAGUCUGAAGU
Molecule: long non-coding RNA, 1262 nt
Filed under: Cavia porcellus (domestic guinea pig)
Lineage: Eukaryota; Metazoa; Chordata; Mammalia; Rodentia; Caviidae
Description: lncRNA (ENSCPOG00000032211.1)
Source: RNAcentral